This 373-nucleotide ribosomal RNA is filed under the name uncultured bacterium. RNAcentral describes it as "bacterial SSU rRNA". It matches the Rfam family "Bacterial small subunit ribosomal RNA", at positions 8 to 381 of the family's 1533-position model. The record is from RNAcentral.
AGAGUUUGAUCCUGGCUCAGAUUGAACGCUGGCGGAAUGCUUUACACAUGCAAGUCGAACGGCAGCACGGGAGCUUGCUCCUGGUGGCGAGUGGCGAACGGGUGAGUAACAUAUCGGAACAUAUCCUAUCGUGGGGGAUAACUAGUCGAAAGACUAGCUAAUACCGCAUACGUCCUGAGGGAGAAAGCGGGGGCUCGCAAGACCUCGCGCGAUUGGAGUGGCCGAUAUCUGAUUAGCUAGAUGGUGAGGUAAAAGCUCACCAUGGCGACGAUCAGUAGCUGGUCUGAGAGGAUGAUCAGCCACACUGGGACUGAGACACGGCCCAGACUCCUACGGGAGGCAGCAGUGGGGAAUUUUGGACAAUGGGCGAAAG